UACGUAGGGAGCAAGCGUUGCUCGGAAUCACUGGGCGUAAAGCGCACGUAGGCGGACUCUUAAGUCGGUGGUGAAAUCCUGGAGCUCAACUCCAGAACUGCCUUCGAUACUGAGAGUCUCGAGUCCGAGAGAGGUGAGUGGAACUGCGAGUGUAGAGGUGAAAUUCGUAGAUAUUCGCAAGAACACCAGUGGCGAAGGCGGCUCACUGGCUCGGUACUGACGCUGAGGUGCGAAAGCGUGGGGAGCAAACAGG
RNAcentral lists this ribosomal RNA (253 nucleotides) under uncultured bacterium. RNAcentral describes it as "partial 16S ribosomal RNA". It matches the Rfam family "Bacterial small subunit ribosomal RNA", at positions 524 to 776 of the family's 1533-position model. The record is from RNAcentral.